Long non-coding RNA from Betta splendens (Siamese fighting fish), 530 nucleotides. RefSeq lists it as uncharacterized. The transcript is spliced from 3 exons. The record is from RefSeq and is a predicted model, not a curated record. Lineage: Eukaryota; Metazoa; Chordata; Actinopteri; Anabantiformes; Osphronemidae.
CGGACCGGUGCCAGAAACACUGCCUCAGCAUUUAUACGUAUGUGCAUUUCAAACGAGGGUGCGUCCAAUGCUGGAUUUGUUUCACGGCUCCUGUUGGAAAAAAAGGACCUAUUCCUAAAGUCCGUCAUCCACUCACUGAAGAGGGCAAAUCCCAGUUGCCCACAUGCAAGGAGGCUGUCAAACAGAGAAAUCACUGCAGACUGUUGGUACACAGACAUCUGCUGCCCAGCUCAGGAGUGAAGGUGAUGGUGAGGACAGCCACAGCUUCCAUCUGGUAGAGGACUGCUUCCGCUCAGUCUUCCAAAUAGUGAUGAGAACAAGGAUCACCACAUCUCCCUGUUUACCCUACUUUCAUGCAUUUCGUCUGCAAGGCCCUGCAAAAGCUUCUCCUUCGUCCUCAAACCCCCAGACUUCUUAAUUAACUCAGUAACCUAUACAUUGCACAUUGGAGUGUGAAGGUAACAGUUUGUUCUAGCUUUGGAGUAGUGGUGUAUUUUUUUGGUUUACAAUAAAGUUGGCUUUAACUAUUA